AUGAACGCUGGCGGCGUGCCUAAUACAUGCAAGUCGCGCGAGCGGACGAGAAGCUUGCUUCUCUGAUGUUAGCGGCGGACGGGUGAGUAACACGUGGAUAACCUACCUAUAAGACUGGGAUAACUUCGGGAAACCGGAGCUAAUACCGGAUAAUAUUUUAAACCGCAUGGUUCAAAAGUGAAAGACGGUCUUGCUGUCACUUAUAGAUGGAUCCGCGCUGCAUUAGCUAGUUGGUAAGGUAACGGCUUACCAAGGCAACGAUGCAUAGCCGACCUGAGAGGGUGAUCGGCCACACUGGAACUGAGACACGGUCCAGACUCCUACGGGAGGCAGCAGUAGGGAAUCUUCCGCAAUGGGCGAAAGCCUGACGGAGCAACGCCGCGUGAGUGAUGAAGGUCUUCGGAUCGUAAAACUCUGUUAUUAGGGAAGAACAUAUGUGUAAGUAACUGUGCACAUCUUGACGGUACCUAAUCAGAAAGCCACGGCUAACUACGUG
This 496-nucleotide ribosomal RNA is filed under the name uncultured bacterium. RNAcentral's name for it is "partial 16S ribosomal RNA". It matches the Rfam family "Bacterial small subunit ribosomal RNA", at positions 29 to 507 of the family's 1533-position model. The record is from RNAcentral.